RNAcentral lists this ribosomal RNA (250 nucleotides) under uncultured bacterium. RNAcentral describes it as "partial 16S ribosomal RNA". It matches the Rfam family "Bacterial small subunit ribosomal RNA", at positions 524 to 773 of the family's 1533-position model. The record is from RNAcentral.
GACAGAGGGUGCAAACGUUGUUCGGAAUUACUGGGCGUAAAGCGCGUGUAGGCGGCUUGGCAAGUCGGGUGUGAAAGCCCCGGGCUCAACCUGGGAAGUGCACUCGAAACUGCUUGGCUUGAGUGUCGGAGAGGGAAGCGGAAUUCUCGGUGUAGAGGUGAAAUUCGUAGAUAUCGAGAGGAACACCGGUGGCGAAGGCGGCUUCCUGGACGACGACUGACGCUGAGACGCGAAAGCGUGGGGAGCAAAC